Non-coding RNA from Caretta caretta (loggerhead turtle), 601 nucleotides. Lineage: Eukaryota; Metazoa; Chordata; Testudines; Cheloniidae. The record is from RefSeq and is a predicted model, not a curated record.
CAUCUCCCUUCGCUGCCCUUCUUCACGCGGAACCCCGCGAGCAGGAGCGGCCAGACUGGGGAGCCGGGGCCUUCUCUGGAGCAAACGGAGGCAGAAAAGAGCCGGUUAUAAUAACGCGAGGAAACAAUCCCACGAGAUUUCACCGCAGGGGGAGACUUUGGGUUCUUGUUUUUAUUGAAAGACAAUUGUCCCCCCCCAGCAGUCGCGGGUGCGUGGCCGGACAGACUGACGUGUGAGCCGGAGAGCCAGGAGGAGGAAGAGUGACAAGCGGUGCCAUGCCCUGGACCGGCGGCAGGGUGGGGCUGGGUUUGGUGACGCCAGCCAGGCCUGGGUCGGAGAGCAGCGGAGCUCCGAGAUACAACGAGACUGACCAUUCGCCCCAGCUCCGCCCGCCCCAUUAGCACGUCCGGGCCGCGGCAAUGAAGCGGGCUGGAAGCAGCCAAGGAGGAGGGCUCUGCUCCUGUCUCCAGCCUUCCCUUGUUCAGGAGGAUCUCCAGCGCGAACCGCAUAUGAGCAGGGUCCAGCGAAGCACCAGGAUGGGAUGAUCUUGACUUGCCCUGGUUCUCUGUGGCAAGGAAAUAAAAGCGCCCCGCUUCUCCUA